CUAAGAUAUAUCUUUUAAUGUGUUAAAAUGUAUAUUUUUAAUAAUAGGUGCUGGGGGUAUGGCUUGGGGUGUGGUCAGAUUUUCCUGCUUUUUUGUCUUUAGCUGAUCACAUGCCUGAAGGUUGUUAUUGUUGCAUUAUUGUUUUGGUUUGUGCAGAAGCGUGCGUCACUGUCUACUCAGAAAGUUUGCUUGUUGGACUAACUACGUUGCUUAUUCUGAUCGCUUAUACGCUGGCCUUUUUCGUCUGGACUUCAUUUGGCCUGUUUUUACUGAUGGCAUAAAUGAUGUGUGCUUCACAGGGAAGUGGUAAAUGGUCCCUGGUUGUCAACACAACAGUAUUCUAUCACAGUCUUUUGGCAGUAAAUAUUUUGAUGACAAAGCUGGUUCGUCUUCUGAAACUGCACCUAUAUCCAAAGAGCAAAGAACAAAGAAGAGUUUCUCCUGUGCCAUCUGUGGAAAAACAUUCAGCAAACAGUGUAAUUUAACAAGACAUGCCAGAAAGAAAAAACACACAGAACAGAAUAACUUCACCUGCAAGAUAUGCAACAUCAGUUUUCCUACCUUCAAAGAGAGAACACUUCAUUCAAAAGAGCACAGCGUGAAGAAGGAGUUUCGCUGUGAACAGUGCGGGAAGGAUCUUUUCACCACUC
Sinocyclocheilus rhinocerous is the source of this 650-nucleotide long non-coding RNA. RefSeq lists it as uncharacterized. The record is from RefSeq and is a predicted model, not a curated record. NCBI's taxonomy places the organism in Eukaryota, Metazoa, Chordata, Actinopteri, Cypriniformes, Cyprinidae. The transcript is spliced from 3 exons.